AUACGGAGGGUGCAAGCGUUACUCGGAAUCACUGGGCGUAAAGCGCGCGCAGGCGGCUAUUUAAGUUGGAUGUGAAAGCCCACGGCUCAACCGUAGAACUGCAUCCAAAACUAUUAGACUAGAGUGUGGGAGAGGAAGAUGGAAUUAGUUGUGUAGGGGUAAAAUCCGUAGAGAUAACUAGGAAUACCAAAAGCGAAGGCAAUCUUCUGGAACACUACUGACGCUGAGGCGCGAAAGCGUGGGGAGCAAACAGGAUUAGAAACCCUAGUAGUCC
This 274-nucleotide ribosomal RNA is filed under the name uncultured bacterium. RNAcentral describes it as "partial 16S ribosomal RNA". It matches the Rfam family "Bacterial small subunit ribosomal RNA", at positions 523 to 796 of the family's 1533-position model. The record is from RNAcentral.